UGUCAUGCAAGAGAGGUCUAGUGAGGA
RNAcentral lists this non-coding RNA (27 nucleotides) under Rattus norvegicus (Norway rat). The record is from RNAcentral. Lineage: Eukaryota; Metazoa; Chordata; Mammalia; Rodentia; Muridae.